This 124-nucleotide non-coding RNA is filed under the name Gloeochaete wittrockiana. Lineage: Eukaryota; Glaucocystophyceae; Gloeochaetales; Gloeochaetaceae. The record is from RNAcentral.
GCUCAUGAACCGCAUCAUUACAGAGAACGCGAAUGCCCUCAACCUCGACAUCCAGGACGGUCUUGGAAACACUGCCCUCCACUACAGUGCUGCUGCCAACCACACUGACACCAUCGUCAUCCUC